Molecule: long non-coding RNA, 2215 nt
Organism: Triticum aestivum (bread wheat)
Lineage: Eukaryota; Viridiplantae; Streptophyta; Magnoliopsida; Poales; Poaceae
Exons: 3
Source: RefSeq, a predicted model, not a curated record
AUGGCAUAGAUGAGUGUGCCCAGAAAAUUUGAAAAACAGUUUCAUGGAUUGCUAUCAGAAGGAUCUGUCUACAUUAUUGCAGAUAUUGUAGCUAUUGAUAACAGAAGCAAAUCAUAUGCCUACCACCAUCAGAACUACAUGCUGCAAUUCAAACAUGACACAAAGGUCCAUGCAUUGCACUCAAGAGGAGCAAAUAUACCUAUUGUUUCCUUCAACUUUUGUCCAUUUGAUCAACUGCCAAGAAAAGCAAUUGAUUCAAAACCACUCCUAGGUAAUCUGUGGUUCCUUAUUUUCUCUCCUAACAGUUAUAAUGCUUAUUAGCUUUCUAUACAUAAUUUGUCCGUUCAGAUAUUAUUGGAGUAAUAAGUGAUGUUGGUCCAUACGAUUAUGCUAGCCCAACAUCUCAGAACAAACUUCAGAAGAAAAAAAUCGAAACCUAGAGUAUGUCUUCUUGCAACGAUGCCACUUAAUUUCUUCCUUAAAGACCCUUUUUCUGCAAUUCUAUAAGUAUACCUUGCUUUUCCAGUGAACAAACGCAAGAAGUAGUUUAUGGGGCAAACAUGGAGAAUCAUUUGAUGAAGAAGCAGUACUUAAAAAAUCUCUAGAAGGAAUUGUGAUAGCUAUUUUUGCUGCUAUAACUGCAACUUCAUAGAAGUUUACAGGUGAAUUAUCAAACGAGCUUGCUUUAAGGAAAAAUGAAAGGAUUUAUUUAAAGUUCUGCAACACAGGUGUAUCUUGACCUCAAUAUACCUGAAGUUCAACAGUAUCGCAGCAGGUUCUCCACCUCCCUCAUUGCCAUUUGCCUAAUUUUUUUGUUCGCUGCUACAACAUACUAAUAGCUUAUCAAAAAAAUUUGAAGCUACCAAUGGAAAUUUCUAUCUCUACAAAAGAAUCUCCCUAAAGUCAGACAUCUAUCUCCACUUGAAGCAGCAGGCAAGCUGUAUACCACUGAACAAAUAUCUACCUUGCCAACCACAUCUUUUCAAGUCAGUACUUUCCAAGAUAGUUUGUUUCUAAAACCUCUCUAUCCAAAAUAUAUAUAAUUGGUGCUCCGACCUUUUAUGCCACAAGGGAGGAGCAACAUUCAGUAGUAUUGCAAAAGUGACAUCCAUUAUACCAUCAGACAAAUGAUACUACAAAGCAUGCAAGCGUUGUGGAAAAGGUUACAACAACAUGUCAGAUACCCCAACAUGCGCCUGCCAAUUUCCUGUUCCAUGCCCAAUGUACCAUAGAUCUUCCUAAAUCUAAUCCUUAUAAAUUGUUUUUCUCUUAUUCAUGUCACUAACAAGUCUACAAUCCUUUAGGUAUAAGAUCCCCCUUACACUAAUAGAUAGCUCAGCAAGUUUGGAUGCAGUUGCGUUUAAUAAAAUAGCUGAAGACUUGGUUGAGUGUCAUGCUGAGCAAGUUUCUAUGAACAUGAAAAUAGAUGUUGUGGAUCAUGUGCUUUCCCUAGAUAAAGCCAUUGGUAAAGAAAGGUUAUUCUAUAUAGGAAUGAAUAUUGAUUUAGCUGCCAAGUACCCUAUAAAAUAUGUCCUGAAAAAAAGUUUCCCCGUGGACAAUACCAAAUCGGUUCCUCUAUUAACUGCUUCAAAGGUAACAACUUUUUGAUACUCAUUACCUUCAUAUAUCAUCCUAUUAACUUGACAUGUGAAGCUUUUUCAGUCAGCACAAGAUAACCUUGCACCAACUUCAUUUGUCAUAAAUGAUGAGAGGUUCCUGGCCAUUUAUCAAUUUAAAUUCUGAAAAUAUAUUGACAAAACAUUAAAUACAUAUUUUCUGAUGAGCAUUAUCUAUAUUUUUUUGAGUCCAAGUGCACAGCAGCCAGAGGCCCCCUUCAACAAUACACCUCCAAGUGAUAACCGCACACCUAUCAGCCUAUCACUACAAAGGAAAGUGAAUCCAGACAAUAAAAAUGCAGCAAACAACUAUGAAAAGACAGGCUAAAAUGAAAGUGCAUACAAAGGCAACUUCCACAAUGCUCAUACAGGCAGCUUCCACAAUGCCCAUACAGCCAACUUCCACAGUGCUCCAAACGACAAACAAUCAAGAAUGUUCAACUUCCACACUGCUUUGACACUGCCAGCUGACAACAAUACAUUUUUUUCUUGCUCAACUUCUAUUGUGACCGAGAAUGUUCUCAUACCCAGUACCUUUAUAUUGUAACUGAGAUGUAUACUCGUGCGUACUUUUGGUUCUAUGCAAGCGACUUCAGAGU